AACGUAGGGGGCAAGCGUUGCCCGGAUUCACUGGGCGUAAAGCGCGUGUAGGCGGUCCGUUAAGUCGGAUGUGAAAUCUCUGGGCUUAACCCAGAAAUCGCAUCCGAUACUGGCGGACUUGAGGAUGGUAGAGGUUGGUGGAAUUCCCGGUGUACCGGUGAAAUGGACAGAUAUCGGGAGGAACACCAGUGGCGAAGGCGGCCAACUGGGCCAUUCCUGACGCUGAGACGCGAAAGCCAGGGGAGCGAACCGG
RNAcentral lists this ribosomal RNA (253 nucleotides) under uncultured bacterium. RNAcentral's name for it is "partial 16S ribosomal RNA". It matches the Rfam family "Bacterial small subunit ribosomal RNA", at positions 524 to 776 of the family's 1533-position model. The record is from RNAcentral.